UACAGAGGGGGCAAGCGUUAUUCGGAAUUAUUGGGCGUAAAGGGCUCGUAGGCGGCCAACUAAGUCAGACGUGAAAUCCCUCGGCUUAACCGGGGAACUGCGUCUGAUACUGGAUGGCUUGAGUGUGGGAGAGGGAUGCGGAAUUCCAGGUGUAGCGGUGAAAUGCGUAGAUAUCUGGAGGAACACCGGUGGCGAAGGCGGCAUCCUGGACCACGACUGACGCUGAGUGAGCGAAAGCCAGGGGAGCAAACGGG
Molecule: ribosomal RNA, 254 nt
Filed under: uncultured bacterium
Lineage: Bacteria
Description: partial 16S ribosomal RNA
Rfam family: Bacterial small subunit ribosomal RNA
Source: RNAcentral